UCUCAUACUAAACAAAAACCUAACGUGCUUGGGGAGCAAAAGCAAGUUCUGGCACUCUCAGGGCACCCAUUAUUGCGUCAAUACCCAUUAUUGCUGUGGGAAGGGAAGUAGAAACAAACUUCUUUUCUUGGGGAAAUGGCAGGGAAGAGUUUUACACAGGGUUCUAUAUUAACAGUGUUGGAGGUCUCAGCACCAUAGGAGAAGAUGGAAAAUCUCUCCCACACAAGACUCACCACAGGUAUAAUGCAGAAAUCGGCCAUCAUCGGGAGGAGGCGUAGGAAUGAUGAGAAACCCCACCUAUGAAGCCCAGGCAUACGGGACCUAAGACACACUGGACCAGGACAGAAGAGGACUGCCUCUGUCCUCUGUCCAUCAGCCAGCAAACAGAAUCUGAAAACCAUGAAGGUUAAGUAACUUCACCAACGUGCCACACCUGCUGAGUAGUGAGUUACUCUUCAAACUCGUGAUGUCCGGCUCCAAAGCCUCAGUUUCUUCCAUUAAACCAUCGUAUUAGGAGGUGUGAAAAUGAGACAGCUACAAGUAUGUUUAAAAUUACAAGUAAUAAUAUUACAUUUGCAACAAGAGCGUUCAACAGAACAGGAGUUUAUGCCCUGGAAGAAGUUCAGUCUUAAGGUCCAUUUUCACUUACUCAAAUUAGAUGGAUUGGAGCAUUACACACAUUACAAGAAAAUAUAUUGUAAAAAUCUACUCACACAAAUACUAAGCAAAAAAGAUAAGGAACUUGUUAAUCAUGUGGAUUGCAGGGUUUCAUGAAAUCUAAUAAAGUGAUUUUGGAUAACUAAUACAACCAAUGCAAAGCAAUCUACAAGUGAAGACACAAGCAGAGUGAGCGUGGUUAAUGACUGAAGAAGAGAAAUGGAAAAGAAAAGAAAAAAAGAUCUUUCAAGAGAGAAUAAUUUUGAAUAUCAAACAAUGAAGAGCUUUUCAGAAUUUUGAUGAAGAAAAUCCUUGAAAAUUCUUGCAAAAAUGAUACCCCUCCCUUUUAGACUGUUCAUUCAAAAUAUAGUGCUAUCAUUUAAUUUUGCCCAAAAAAUUACCCCCAAGUUAAUACAAUUCAUUCUUUUUAAUUCUAAAAAUUAGCUUAUACUUAUAAUUACAACCAAAAAUACGACAGUUAAAUAACGCUUUUUUAUAAUUUUUCGCUGUAUAUUUCAAAUCAGCCAGUUGGACCAAUCAAGUAUUGUCAAUGUUCAUUAUAAAGUUUUCACCCCACCUUUGGAAACCUCUCUAAAGGUGACUUUUUCUGUACCAAGUGUCCUUCAACAAAGAGGAACCUCCUGGAUCUCAGUGAUUAUGAGGGACACGACCUGGCAAAGGCCUUGUGACUGUUCUGAGAUUCAGUUAUACACUUAUAAAAUCACUGUGUUCUGUUUAAUUAUACUCAUGAAGAAAUACGAACUAUAAAUAUAACUAUAAAAAUAAAUAUAAACUAUAAAUUCCCUAUAAGCUCUAAGAUUGUUAUUGCACAUUUCAAUUUCUUAUAAUGAGUAUCUUAGAUCACUUUCAGGAAACAAGAAAUGUGUCAUUUUGGAAACUUUUGCUUUGUUAAUAUAUUUUUUAAUGCUUUAAGGUUUAAAAAUCAGCUAUCUGAAAAAAACCUCUUGUCUCAUUCCCUCACUAUGUCAGAUGCAUGAUAUGAAGAUUUUUCCAAUUAAAAAAUCCCAAAACACGUUUUCACAUUGUGGAAAACUUGGAAAAUGACAAAUAGGCAAAAUGGAGGAAAAAACUCAUUAUCUUUAUACCCUAAAACAAAGAUGUUUAAGAUUUUAUCACUAUUCCUCUAAUCUUCCAUGUGUAAAUUAUAUCUGAGACACGUUCCCAAGACAUUGACAGCCUUUUAUAAUCAUUUAAUCACAGAUGCAUGUAACAUUCUUUACUAAAUAUUCUUCCCCUUAGAUAUUUAAGUGGUAUAAAUAGACUAUUAUAAAACAAAAUUGUGUUCCUGUUGUCAUUGUUUUUUACGUAACUCUGCGAACUUUAGAUUAUUCUCCAAGGACAAAUUUGUGGAAAUGAAAUUGUCAGAUGAAAGACUGAGCAUUUUAAAAGUUUGUGUUUUGAAUUGCCAAAAUAUUAAAGAAACCAAUAAACCUAGGAAAAUACCUAACAGAAAUGUGUAGGACUAAUAUAAAGAAAACUUUAAAACACCAUUAAGGAAUACAACAGGAAUCCUAAAUAAAUAGAAACAUAUAACUUGUUCUUGAAUUAAAAAGAAUCAAAAUUCUAGGCUUGCAUUUAAACCUUGAAGAUCAAACACAUGUGUUUAUCUCUGAACUGUGCCAAAAUUCUACUGAAAUUACAGCAAUGGAAUUAAUUGCACAUAGGGCCUGAAAGGCAAAGAAACCGGAAGAGUUGACAAAAGUGACUUUGUGGAAUAUAGAAAGUGAGUGUCAGAGUUUUGCUGCUCUGAAGAGCAUGUGUGAGUGUGGGAGGGAGAUAUAUUGGGGACUGGGGGAUAGUUAAAAGCAGGCUUCUGAAGGCCAAAGUACAUGGCAGGGCUACAAGUGAGGGUGUGUUUGGUGUCUAUGGAAGCGUUAGACCCUGAGAUCUCUUUCAUCUGCCCAAGUAGCCAGGUCUCUGGUCCUGCCUAAAUCUUAUAGGAGGCAGGAAGCUUUCACUCUGAAGAAGUUUAUCCUGGAGACUUUGUACUCAGUAAAAUCAGAAACUGGUUAGGAAGAGAAGAGACACUUUUCCACAAGUAAGGGAUUAUCCUCCAGUCUAGACAUGUUGAUAGCUAAACUUAAAUUCAUGAGGCAGAAGAAUUUAGAUUCAUCUUGUGGGAAAUGGACUAUAAAAGGGAGCAGCAAAAACACCAGUCAACAAGACCUCUAUACUGUAGCCCAGCACAAACACCAUGAUUCUAAUAACAGUUUUAAUGUGCUGCUAUUAAAUAUGAAUGCACAGCCAAAGAUCAUCAGAUAUCUGAUAAAAUCCUUUAACAUGAAAAAAAAAAGUAAUAAUCAGAAUGAAAGAAGUCAGAGGAAAGAGAAAACUCAACGAGCAGAAGGAACUUCGGGGAAAGUCCCAUAUAUAAUAUUAUAGGCAAGAGAAGCUACUGUAUUAUGCGACAAAACAAAAUACUAUUGAGAAAAAAAAAGAAUGUUAAAGCAAUGUACAAGAAGAAAGUGUUCCUAGAGUCAAGGAUAUGAAAUUCUAACUUAAAGUCAAUAGCUUGGUGUUUACAUUUGAGGAAAUCUAACAGGAAAAAAAAUUAGAAAAGAGAAUGAAAUUAGAGAGUCAUUGACAAAUUUAUCAUCAGAUUUGUACAGCUCCCAGAAAAGAAUACAGAAAAAAUAGGAGGAAGGAAAUUAUCAAAAAAAAUAUGUAAGAAAAAUUUUUGGAGAAACAUGAGUUUGUUUCAUGAAGUCUCUAGUAUAAUGCAUGAGGAAAGACCCAUAGCUUUACAUUACUGUGAAAUUAAAAUACCAUAAAUAAAGAGACAAUCCUAAAAGUUUAUAUAAUGGAAAGACUGAGGGCUAUAUAAAAAUUCAGAAUUCAGUGUAGAUUCCAUAACAAAAACAUUAUUUAUCAGAAAAAAAUAUUUCAAUCUAGAAUUUUAAAUCCGACCACGUAUAAGGUUAGAAUCAAGACAUUUCCGGCACACAAAUUAAAGCAAUUGAUUUAUCAUAAGCACUUUCUCAGUAAUCUUCCAUAAAGUAUUUGUUCCUAAAAUAAUAUAGUAAUCCUAGAAGGAAGUCAUGAGAUCCCAGAAACAGGAGCUCAAAUAUUAGAAAAAGGUGGAGGAAAUUCCCGGGACGAUAUUGGAGGGAAGUCUCAGAAUGCUAGCCACACUUAGUAUCUAAGAUCUAGAAGUUCUAAGGGGUCACAAGGAUGGGGCUCCUCAUGGGAUGGUGAAAAGAGGACACAAACAAUCAGAGGAACUGAUAGACUACUUGAUUUGUAUGGAUUGCACAGGGAGAUUUAUAUUUGGGAGAUUAUGUUAAACCAAAAAUUUGGCCCUGGAAUAGAAAUAAGUAGACAGAAAAACAAGUGAAUGCUAAUAAAAGAAGCAAUUAGUAACUCCAGAGAAAACAAACAUUUUUAUAAGAAAUGUGAUCUUAGUAUGUUGGCAGUUGUGUGGAAAAGGGAUGUUGCCAAACAUUUUUUGGAGGAAAAAUAAAUUAGCACAGCAUUUUUGAAAAACAAUUCAUUCAGUAAUCAUCAUGAUAUAAAACAUGAAUAGGCUUUGUCUUAGCAGUUCCUCUUCUAAGGAAAAUAACACACAGAAAUAUUCUCCAGAAAGUUCUUGAGUAUAUGCACAAAGACUUUGAUGGUAACAAAUUAAUAAUAGGGGAGAGAGAGAGAAUUAAACGUAUAUUGGUAGUAUUAUGGAAUACUAUAUACCUAUUAGAAAAAGAGAAAGUUUGAU
RNAcentral lists this long non-coding RNA (4387 nucleotides) under Equus caballus (horse). Its description in RNAcentral is "lncRNA (ENSECAG00000050567.1)". Lineage: Eukaryota; Metazoa; Chordata; Mammalia; Perissodactyla; Equidae. The record is from RNAcentral.